RNAcentral lists this ribosomal RNA (429 nucleotides) under uncultured bacterium. Its description in RNAcentral is "bacterial SSU rRNA". It matches the Rfam family "Bacterial small subunit ribosomal RNA", at positions 355 to 775 of the family's 1533-position model. The record is from RNAcentral.
UGAGGAAUCUUGCGCAAUGGGGGAAACCCUGACGCAGCAACGCCGCGUGAGUGAGGAAGGUCUUCGGGUCGUAAAGCUCUGUCAGGCGGGAAGAAAUGCAUGGAGGUGAACAGCCGCCAUGCUUGACGGUACCGCCAGAGGAAGCACCGGCUAACUCCGUGCCGGCAGCCGCGGUAAUACGGGGGGUGCAAGCGUUGUUCGGAAUCAUUGGGCGUAAAGAGCGUGUAGGCGGCUUGGUAAGUCAGAUGUGAAAGCCCUGGGCUCAACUCAGGAAGUGCAUUUGAAACUGCCAGGCUCGGGUAGGGGAGAGGGGAGUGGAAUUCCUGGUGUAGAGGUGAAAUUCGUAGAUAUCAGGAGGAACACCGGUGGCGAAGGCGACUUCCUGGCCCUAUACUGACGCUGAGACGCGAGAGCGUGGGUAGCAAACAG